AUUGUAAAUAUAUUCUGCUUCGUAGAAACGAUAUAUUAUAAAUAAAGCAAAAUUUUCAUUAACUAAUAUUCCAAAAUGUUGCAAAUCUCCCGAUGAACUCGUCAACAGGAAAUCUAUAAAAAACAUAAACGAACGCAAUAUGAUUGAAUAGAAAACUACCUGCUCUCUUUCAAUUUCAGUGUAAUCAAUUUCUUCAAUGAACUGUUGCUGAUGGCCGGUUAUUUCUCUGUUCGCCAUCGCACACAGUCCACAUUACAUUGUUAUGAUGGCACAUUUAACCGAUCAAGAAAACUAAUGCACAAAUGUUUACUUAAACUGGCCUCAGACUGCCUUGCCAUUUGCCAUUUUCAAUAUCAGACCUUGUACCAUGGAAUACUAGACAAAAUGAACAGAAACUAAAAUAUAUGCACCACGAUUGUGGCGCUAUCGAGUAGUCAAAAUGAUAACUAUUUAUGAAUAUGAGUUCAAAAAUGAAUUAUUAUUAAAGAAAAAUAUUCCAUAAAUUCUAUCAGUUAUAUAUCUAUAUUGAAUGAUUUAAAAAUCAUAUAAUUCUAUUAAUACGAUACUAAUUAUUGAUUUCUAUUCAUUAAUUUAUCGAUUCUUAAUAAAUUUACUUCAUAAGGAAUAUCUACAUUUACACAUACAUUGUGUUAUUAUACAUACAUUGUAUACAGAUCCAUGCAGAAAUGUAUGCGACGAACAUAACCUCUACAUUAAUUAUUUAUGUUAAGCGUCGAUCAAAAAUUUCUUUGGCUCACGGUCAAUUAUAAUUUGUUAUUAUUACUUUUCUUUUAAUUUGAAAACGUGCGAAAUUGAAAUUAUACUGUAAAAAUAUAUUUUGAGGUAUAUAAAUAUUGGGUUUAAUAUAACAAAAAAGUGUGAUGCUUGUUCUUCGUGGAAUUCAAAAUACAAAUUCCUUUAUUUUACUGGGUGGCCUUCUUCUAUGUCUUGUGUUAACAAUUCAAAUCAAACAAAUUUAUAUCAAUAAUCAAAAAUACAAUCGUUAUUUAGGAUACGAACAAUAUAUCAAUGAAAUAUCCAAAGAAUUGAAGAUGGUUGAAAAGACUGCCAAUAAAUCGUCGAUAUAUGUACAUCAUUUAAAUGAGAUACUUUUUAAACAUCGUGAAAAAGAUAUGAAAAAUGCUUCAUUGUCACGAAUAGCAAAAUUAAUACGAGGAGAAACAAGCUGAAAUAAAUCAACGAGAUGUAAAAAGAUAUUUUUUAAAUAUUUUUGUAUAUUUGUAAAUAUGUAUAUAGAUUAAAUAUAAAAUGUAGAAAUAAACUUUCUAUUUACCACCAGAUCAUAUUAUUUAGGACGUAACAAAAUUAAUGAGUAAAAAAAAAAAGAUCAUAUCUUCUAAUCUAUAUUAUAUAAGGGCAUACACUGUGGAUUAUUUAUAUGAUCACCGGUAUUUUGUAAGACUCCAUGUGGAACACAUAACCAUGGAUCAUUAGUAACAUUCUGCCAAUUGAACAAUUGUUUUUGUAAAUCAAUCACUAUGCCCUAAAAAAAUAUUUUCUGAAUUAAAACUUUUGUUUAAUAAUAUAAA
Vespa velutina is the source of this 1550-nucleotide long non-coding RNA. RefSeq lists it as uncharacterized. NCBI's taxonomy places the organism in Eukaryota, Metazoa, Arthropoda, Insecta, Hymenoptera, Vespidae. The transcript is spliced from 3 exons. The record is from RefSeq and is a predicted model, not a curated record.